Paenibacillus sp. IHB B 3415 is the source of this 227-nucleotide non-coding RNA. Lineage: Bacteria; Bacillati; Bacillota; Bacilli; Caryophanales; Paenibacillaceae. The record is from Rfam.
GCAAAACCGAUGAUGGAACAAAGAUUACUGAUGUCUUCAGAGAGCCGGUGGAUGGUGCAAACCGGUGGCAGACGGAAAUCUUUAGCGCUCCUGAGAUAUUGUAUUGAACCUUGAGUAGAUACAAUCGGAUCACCUCCGUUACCAGUGUGGCCUAUUCAGGCCAAUGAGGCUGCUUCUUAACCGUUGCAGUGAAUUAGGGUGGUACCACGAGAACUCUCGUCCCUUAC